GACGAACGCUGGCGGCGUGCUUAACACAUGCAAGUCGAACGAGAAUCUGCGGAAAGAGGAUUCGUCCAAUAGAAGCAGAGGACAGUGGCGGACGGGUGAGUAACGCGUGAGGAACCUGCCUUUCAGAGGGGGACAACAGUUGGAAACGACUGCUAAUACCGCAUGACACAUUGAGGUCGCAUGGCCUUAAUGUCAAAGAUUUAUCGCUGAAAGAUGGCCUCGCGUCUGAUUAGCUAGUUGGUGAGGUAACGGCCCACCAAGGCGACGAUCGAGUAGCCGGACUGAGAGGUUGAACGGCCACAUUGGGACUGAGAUACGGCCCAGACUCCUACGGGAGGCAGCAGUGGGGAAUAUUGGGGCAAUGGGCGCAAGCCUGACCCAGCAACGCCGCGUGAAGGAAGAAGGCUUUCGGGUUGUAAACUUCUUUUGUCAGGGACGAGUAGAAGACGGUACCUGACGAAUAAGCCACGGCUAACUACGUGCCAGCAGCCG
This 492-nucleotide ribosomal RNA is filed under the name uncultured bacterium. RNAcentral describes it as "bacterial SSU rRNA". It matches the Rfam family "Bacterial small subunit ribosomal RNA", at positions 28 to 517 of the family's 1533-position model. The record is from RNAcentral.